This is a non-coding RNA of Uloborus diversus, 79 nucleotides long. Lineage: Eukaryota; Metazoa; Arthropoda; Arachnida; Araneae; Uloboridae. The record is from the annotation of a RefSeq genome assembly.
GGCAUGCGCCGUAGUUUAGUUGGUUAAAGCGCCUGUCUAGUAAACAGGAGAUCGCGAGUUCGACAUCUCGCCGGUGCCU